UGGGAGUUGAUGAUGUAGUUAUAUACUUGAAGGGUGUGUGUGUGAAUUGGCCUAUAUAAGGAUCAAAAUAUCAGGGAAGAUUAUUUUCUUCCCCCGUACGCCUCUCUCUCUCCCGUUCUCUCCUCUCUCUCGGCUCUCACCUCUCUCACCUUCUCUCUUCGAUUUCAUCGACCACGAGUGAGACUUUUGAAAAAUAUCAAGUACUAAAGUUGUUCUACGCGACGAGAGCUUCCUAUCCAUCGAAGAAAAUUCACGAUCGGAGCACUUCGAAGUUUCCUCCAUGUUCGGGCUUGCUUCUAACCUUCGAGGAAGUUCGAGUCGUUACGUGGAUCGAGGUGAGUGAUUUAAUACUUAAAUUACAUGAUUUUGAACUUGUUUUCUUUAACGAACUUAUUUGAACAAAUUUUAUGAAUUGUGUACUCCAUGGAAUAACAAUGGAAGGUGGAACUAUUUGUGAAAUAUUUGCGAAUCUAUUUAAUGGCAUUCCCAACGUCCGGUCUUGCUAGGGGACGGCUUAAUGGCUAGCAAGGGUGUUUGAGGUUGGUAUGUGUUUUGGGAUAAUGCGUAGACGUCUGGCUUAUCCACUACUGGGGACGCCCGGUAGCUUUGAAUUUUGAAUAGCGGAAUGUGCAUUAUAUUUGGCUUAUAGUUUUGAGUUCUUUGUUUUGAAAUAUUAUCAAAUUAUUUUGCAUUGUCCAUGGAAGGCAUGUGAGUUAAGUAUUAAUCAUUCACACGAGCUUUGGCUUAAGUAUUUUCUUUUCCACCUUUCAGGAAGCGACGCGUAGUGUGGCAGGGUGUUUACUUUAGUUUGUAAAUUUGUAGGUAAGCACAGCUCUGAGAGGUUUAUCCUUUUGGUUUGUAAACCUAUGUAAGAUUUUGGUUUGUUAUCAAUAAAAGUUAACUUUUGCUUC
Long non-coding RNA from Rhododendron vialii, 911 nucleotides. RefSeq lists it as uncharacterized. The record is from RefSeq and is a predicted model, not a curated record. The transcript has 2 exons. Lineage: Eukaryota; Viridiplantae; Streptophyta; Magnoliopsida; Ericales; Ericaceae.